CCUACGAGGGGCUGCAGUGAGGAAUAUUGGUCAAUGGGCGCGAGCCUGAACCAGCCAAGUAGCGUGAAGGAUGAAUGCCCUACGGGUUGUAAACUUCUUUUAUAAAGGAAUAAAGUGAGGCACGUGUGCCUUUUUGUAUGUACUUUAUGAAUAAGGAUCGGCUAACUCCGUGCCAGCAGCCGCGGUAAUACGGAGGAUCCGAGCGUUAUCCGGCUUUAUUGGGUUUAAAGGGAGCGUUGUUGGGUUGUUAAGUCAGUGGUGAAAGUUUGCGGCUCAACCGUAAAAUUGCAAUUGAUACUGGCAGUCUUGAGUACAGUUGAGGUAGGCGGAAUUCGUGGUGUAGCGGUGAAAUGCUUAGAUAUCACGAAGAACUCCGAUUGCGAAGGCAGCUUACUAAACUGCCACUGACAUUGAUGCUCGAAAGUGUGGGUAUCAAACAGGAUUAGAUACCCCAGUAGUC
This 460-nucleotide ribosomal RNA is filed under the name uncultured bacterium. Its description in RNAcentral is "partial 16S ribosomal RNA". It matches the Rfam family "Bacterial small subunit ribosomal RNA", at positions 338 to 795 of the family's 1533-position model. The record is from RNAcentral.